This 243-nucleotide unclassified non-coding RNA is filed under the name Cladosporium herbarum. RNAcentral's name for it is "sequence contains 5.8S rRNA gene". The record is from RNAcentral. Lineage: Eukaryota; Fungi; Ascomycota; Dothideomycetes; Cladosporiales; Cladosporiaceae.
GAACGCACAUUGCGCCCCUUGGUAUUCCGAGGGGCAUGCCCGUUCGAGCGUCAUUUCACCACUCAAGCCUCGCUUGGUAUUGGGCAACGCGGUCCGCCGCGUGCCUCAAAUCGUCCGGCUGGGUCUUCUGUCCCCUAAGCGUUGUGGAAACUAUUCGCUAAAGGGUGUUCGGGAGGCUACGCCGUAAAACAACCCCAUUUCUAAGGUUGACCUCGGAUCAGGUAGGGAUACCCGCUGAACUUA